Molecule: long non-coding RNA, 2829 nt
Organism: Felis catus (domestic cat)
Lineage: Eukaryota; Metazoa; Chordata; Mammalia; Carnivora; Felidae
Exons: 3
Source: RefSeq, a predicted model, not a curated record
UUUAAAAAGAAGAGAACUGCCAAAAACUUGGAUCUUGGGGAGCCAAGGGAGAGCUAGUGGGGAAGGCCUCACUCUCGUUCUGGUGCACGAUAUUUGGCUCAGCUACAGACUCACUGGGGUGGACAUCUCUUCGUUCAGACUCCUAGGAGAAUCGGAUUUGCUCCUCCUCGCUCUGGAGCCAGUAGCCUCCUGGGUCCUCCUCAGGGGAGAUUCUGUUAGCAGGGGUUUGGGCACCAGGCUGCUGACUCCUGUUCUGUGAACCUGGCUCAUGGCCUUUCAGCCUGUUCAGGGCCUUUGGUCAGCGAAGUGAACAUCUACACAAGAGUGUCCCUGUGCUCUAGGGUCCUGGGAACUGACCAGAUGUUGACGCUGUCUUCUGGCUAUAAUACAAAGCUUUUACCUCCUGAUAAGAGUUCGGAUGCUAUCUGAAAGCUGACAUAGGAGGAAACUGAGACCCCAAGAGGUCACCUGACUUCCGGCAGUUGUGAUGAGGCCAGGAUUUCAGCCGUCUUGCCAUCCUGCUGAGGCUGCAGUUACAGGCGUGAGCGAGGCCUCAGCCACUGCUGUCCCAUGGAGCUGCAGCCCCAGGGCUCACACAAGUCAAGCGUCCUCUCCUGUGUGGCUUCUCAGGAUCAGGGUGGCUGUGGCCUUAAGUGAGAUAAGGAAUCCUAGAAGGGUGCUGAACACGUGGCCAAGCUCUGCGGGGGGCCCGAAGGAGUAGACAACGGUGGGCUUCCGGAAGCUUCCGCUCUCUUUGAGGUGACAAGACACACUCUGAAAGCAGAAAACCACCGUGCGCACAUUUCAGCGGAGGAAGCUGUGUGGAGGUAAUCUGUGGCUCACUUUGUUUGCUCCCCAGAACUAGUGCUCAAAAAUUAGUUGCUGAGGGAGGGCGGGAUGAAUAUUUGGGUUUCCUUUUCUUGGCCUCUAGGCAUAAAACCGAUGAGAAAAGUGGAGAAAUGGUUCUUCUGAAGUUCCAGCGCUUUCGCUCUUCUCAUCAGUGUGCCAGAUGCAGGUUCAGAAAGUAAAACAAAGGUGCUCUCGAGAGAUCUGGACACGGGGUGUUUACUUCCGGCCAUGGAGGGUUCCUCACCCUCUCCAGACACAGGAGGGCGAGGCUGGAGAGGAGGAAGACAGGGAGCUUUCACAGCCCACCCCCCAGACAAUGGGAGGUAGCGGCACAAAUAAACCUGUAUUUGGAGCUUUUAGCAAGGCCUCCCGGGAUGACUCACACAGCAAGGGCUGGCAGAUGUCUCCUCGGAAGGGUAGGUGGCCAGUGAAGCGUCCCUCACGUGUUUGCCUGUCAGCCUCGCCGAGGUGAGCAUCUUUAGCUCUUCAAUAAAUUGUCCCUCUGUGGCAGUAGCGGCUGAGCGCUCCCGACGUCAUCUGCGGGAGCCUCAUUUGGUUUUAAUGGGGAUGCGUUUCUGGCUGAGAAACUCACAUGCCCGUCCCGGCUGUGACAUUCAUUUUGCUGCGGUCAGCCCACACACCUGUGUCUCCAGGCAAAGCCAAGUGCGCCCGUUCAGGUAGGCGCUGACAAACGGCCAGGCCCUGUCUCUCUCCGCUGUUCCGUUCUCUCCUCCCUGCUGCUGUGUCUCUGGGUUCCCCUGAUUUUUAGCACAUGUGCUGAGUGUCUAGAGGCUGGCGGUUGAGGGUGGUUACCUCCAGAACACGAGCCUGUCACCUUUUCUGAAUAUUUUCAGUGCUGAAGCAUACAUAGCCCAACACAUGGCUGGAGAUGAAUGGAUAUUCCAUAUGUAGGUGAUUCCGGAUUUAUUCUCCGACAUGAAUUCGGUGAUUGUAAAUGUCACAGCCUCACACUGGCUUUAAAUAUGUUCAUGACUUCAGAGUCCACGGGAAUUUGAAUUUCAAGAGCUCGUUAUUUCUCUUUCCAGGAAGAAAAACAAACAAACAUCCAGAUGUAAUAACAUCUGGGUUUGUGCGAUGCCCGACUCAGUCACGUCGGACACGAACCCUCUCCGAUACCCACCAGCCCCUUUCUUGUUGGGGAAAGAGUGUAAUCUGGUAAAGGGAACCCUUGGGCUUGUGAUGAAAAAACAGACUCUGUGGAUAAUCGACAAUAUGCCAACAUUAUACAUGAAAUGUCUUGGUUCUGUAUCAAAAUGAGUCUAGCCUUCAUAAAACCAACUUGCAGACGCUCCUCCUGCUUCAGUUUGAGGGGCUAAUUGAAAUUACUUAAAACGCAGUGAUGUCAUCCCAAGCCUCUAGAACAUGGAGGUAGAAGCGGACGAAGGGGGGGGGGGCGUGCCCCCAGCCUAGCUGGAAUGGGGAGGAAAGAACAGUGAAGUCAGAGGCCUGGGCUUCCAUCCAAGCUAUGCCUCUCUCGUGGUAUAUUCUGGAUGAAACCACAAGUCUCUCUGAGCCUUUCUGUUCUCAUCUGUAAAAUGGGAGCAGCGAUCCCUACCUCGCCAGUCACCGGGAUUCACUGCGCCCGCACGCGGGGGAGUGUUGAGCUCAGAGAAGACACUGUACAGGCAGGAGCUGAGUCUGAAGCGAGGGAAGUUCACAAUAGUGAGUUGUACCAACUCAAACCUCCAAAUUGGAGAGACUGACAGAGGGAGAGGGUGAGAAAGAGAAAUAAGGAGGGAGGAAAUGAGGAAAUAGGAGGAAGGAAUAAGGAAUGAGGAGGGAGAAAUCAGGACCAAAAAAGAGCUAGCCAAUGGAUCCAGGAAAUCCCCAAGAGGGAGAUUUCCUCCAAAAGAAAUAUUCUGCACAGAAAUAAAACCACGUCAGAUGGCACCAGAAACAAUGGUCCACAUUUACUGAAUUCUUACGAAAUUGCCAGACCCUGGACAUUUGUCCUGGAGA